GGCGCGGGCCGCCUGGCUGAGGGGAGCGGGAGAGCCCGGACCGGCCCGGCCGCCAUGGCGGCUGCGGCGGUGGACAGCGGCUUCCUCCGCUCCCCGCGGGGCGCUGUGAAGAUCGCCCGCGCGGUGGUGGCGUUCGUAACGUUCCUCUGCUUCGUGGCGUCCCGCUCGGGCGGGGCGUACACCGCCCUGGCCCUCAUGGAGACGGUCAUCACGGCGCUGUUUUUUCUGCUGUACUUGCUAAAGCUGGACAAGAAGAUGAGGUGGCUCUUCUGGCCGCUGGCGGAUAUUUUCAACUCGGUGAUUGCAGCGUUGUUCCUCCUCAUUGUGUGCCUGUUUGCAAUAAUAAUCAAGACCAACAAUGGGACACUGGCUGGAGGACUUGAAAUUCUAGGUGGGAGAAUCACUGGCUCCUUUAGGACUAUCCAGUCUGAUUACACUAUUUAAGAAGAAAUGCCUACAAUCCUGCUAAAAAGAGUUGAAACUUCUUAACAGACAUGCUGGUGUUUGGUCUUGUAUUGCUUGUUCUCUGUGUCGUCGAUGCAGUUCUUCUUUUCCAGAAGAUUAGCCUUGGUGCACCAAGAGGAAGGAAUACUCCUGCAAAAUAAGAUUACCAUUUUAGUGAAAGAGCACUUUCCUCACUGAUGACCGCUUUACUGUUCCCUUUUAAAAAAUUUGUAUUGUCAGGUGUUCACCUUUGAAUUCCCUGUGCAUUUAUGUACAUUUUUGCAAGUAUUGUUCCUAAGUUUUCUUAGGCUUACAAAUGUAGUUUCAGUGUUGCAAUUUCACCAGUAUAAGCUUCACAGAGAAUUGUCCUGUUUUUCUAAACUUAAUUACAUUUUUACCUGUAUGAAACUUAAGUUUCAGAAUUGUCUCUCUGUAAUAAAAAGAAAAUACAAAUA
This is an RNA transcript of Aquila chrysaetos chrysaetos, 899 nucleotides long. It is a transcript of the gene named chemokine-like factor, with no coding region annotated. The record is from RefSeq and is a predicted model, not a curated record. The transcript is spliced from 5 exons. NCBI's taxonomy places the organism in Eukaryota, Metazoa, Chordata, Aves, Accipitriformes, Accipitridae.